This 1399-nucleotide ribosomal RNA is filed under the name uncultured bacterium. RNAcentral's name for it is "bacterial SSU rRNA". It matches the Rfam family "Bacterial small subunit ribosomal RNA". The record is from RNAcentral.
UUAGAGUUUGAUUCUGGCUCAGGAUGAACGCUAGCGGCAGGCUUAACACAUGCAAGUCGAGGGGCAGCGAGAGUGAUAGCAAUAUUACUUGUCGGCGACCGGCGCACGUGUGCGUAACGCGUAUGCAACCUACCAUCAACAGGGGGAUAACACUGAGAAAUCGGUACUAAUACCCCAUAAUAUCUCAUGCGGCAUCGCAUGGGGUUGAAAACUCCGGUGGUUGAUGAUGGGCAUGCGUUGUAUUAGCUGGUUGGUGAGGUAACGGCUCACCAAGGCGACGAUACAUAGGGGGACUGAGAGGUUAACCCCCCACAUUGGUACUGAGACACGGACCAAACUCCUACGGGAGGCAGCAGUGAGGAAUAUUGGUCAAUGGACGCAAGUCUGAACCAGCCAUGCCGCGUGCAGGAUGACGGCUCUAUGAGUUGUAAACUGCUUUUGUACGAGGGUAAACCCCGAUACGUGUAUCGGGUUGAAAGUAUCGUACGAAUAAGGAUCGGCUAACUCCGUGCCAGCAGCCGCGGUAAUACGGAGGAUCCGAGCGUUAUCCGGAUUUAUUGGGUUUAAAGGGUGCGUAGGCGGUUUGAUAAGUUAGAGGUGAAAUGUCGGGGCUCAACCCCGAAACUGCCUCUAAUACUGUUGGACUAGAGAAUAGUUGCGGUAGGCGGAAUGUAUGGUGUAGCGGUGAAAUGCUUAGAGAUCAUACAGAACACCGAUUGCGAAGGCAGCUUACCAAACUAUAUCCGACGUUGAGGCACGAAAGCGUGGGUAGCAAACAGGAUUAGAUACCCUGGUAGUCCACGCAGUAAACGAUGAUAACUCGUUGUCGGCGAUACACAGUCGGUGACUAAGCGAAAGCGAUAAGUUAUCCACCUGGGGAGUACGUUCGCAAGAAUGAAACUCAAAGGAAUUGACGGGGGCCCGCACAAGCGGAGGAACAUGUGGUUUAAUUCGAUGAUACGCGAGGAACCUUACCCGGGCUUGAAAGUUAGCGACGACGCUUGAAAGAGCGUUUCCCUUCGGGGCGCGAAACUAGGUGCUGCAUGGUUGUCGUCAGCUCGUGCCGUGAGGUGUCGGGUUAAGUCCCAUAACGAGCGCAACCCCUACUGUUAGUUGCCAUCAGGUGAUGCUGGGCACUCUAGCGGGACUGCCGGUGUAAGCCGAGAGGAAGGUGGGGAUGACGUCAAAUCAGCACGGCCCUUACGUCCGGGGCCACACACGUGUUACAAUGGUAGGUACAGAGGGCAGCUACCCUGCGAAGGGGUGCGAAUCUCGAAAGCCUAUCUCAGUUCGGAUUGUAGUCUGCAACCCGACUACAUGAAGCCGGAAUCGCUAGUAAUCGCGAAUCAGAAUGUCGCGGUGAAUACAUUCCCGGGUCUUGCACACACCGCCCGUCAAG